UACGUAGGGGGCAAGCGUUGUCCGGAUUCAUUGGGCGUAAAGAGCUCGUAGGCGGCUUGGCAAGUCGGGUGUGAAAACUCCAGGCUCAACCUGGAGACGCCACCCGAUACUGCCAUGGCUAGAGUCCGGUAGGGGACCACGGAAUUCCUGGUGUAGCGGUGAAAUGCGCAGAUAUCAGGAGGAACACCGGUGGCGAAGGCGGUGGUCUGGGCCACUACUGACGCUGAGAAGCGAAAGCAUGGGGAGCGAACAGG
This 254-nucleotide ribosomal RNA is filed under the name uncultured bacterium. RNAcentral describes it as "partial 16S ribosomal RNA". It matches the Rfam family "Bacterial small subunit ribosomal RNA", at positions 524 to 776 of the family's 1533-position model. The record is from RNAcentral.